UAUCAGAGCAAGGAGGUGAAGAUACAGAUAUGGGAGAGGUGCCAGAAAUCCAAAUUUGAAGCAAAGAUAAGGAAUGCCGAGGACAGGAACUGCAUAGUAGGGUGGCAUCGCCAUAGAGUUGAGAAACGCGGCCUAUGUCUCAUUGGUGGCACUUCUCCCGAGCAAGGACAUGACGUACUCCAUCACCACAGCAUCGCAUGGCAGCUUGAUCCUGUCUUCUCUGCUUGCGAAGCCAACCACCUUUUUGGACAUCCGUAGAAGCUCGCUGAAGACCACUGUGCUGAGAUAUGCCAAUGGCACCUUGAACCUUCUCCCAUCAGUGGUGUACAUGACACAGUGGUCCUUUCCUGCCACUGCUGUUGAGCACCAUUUGGCUGCUGUUGUCGUCGUCCUGGUCAGCCGCUUCCUCGUGAGAACUGCUACCCUCUGCCACUUCGUUGCUAGUGGAGCGAUUCUCUUGGCGUUGAUCAUGGUCGGUUCUUUUUUCUGAGAGUUGGAGAUUCUAGCUGAGUUGCAAAUGCUUUGUUUGUGGAUGUGGCAAUGGUGUUUUGAGGCCACCGAACCAAGAAUUUAUAGCUGAAGACACCAGCCAUGUCAAGUGCCGUCAAUGGUUGGCUAAGUGAAUAAGGUCAUGAGGUUUGUUUGUGCCAUACCGCAAGAAGAUCAAGGAAAUAAUUGGGUUCAGAUAUUUCUGUAGGGCUGUUUGUUGCAUGAUGGGUACUGCCAUAGUGGCAUGUUUCGUGCAUAAGUAGCUUGAGGACCCCAUUCAAACAUCGUUCGGACAUUGUGUAAUGAGAUAUUGGCAGACAACCCUUGUGCAGGCCUCUUGGGUCCAGCCUUUUAUUGAUGGCUAACUGUAAAGGAUAGCUACUUAUUUUUGGUUGCAAGAGUAAUCAUUUCUUAA
Non-coding RNA from Lolium perenne, 904 nucleotides. The record is from RefSeq and is a predicted model, not a curated record. NCBI's taxonomy places the organism in Eukaryota, Viridiplantae, Streptophyta, Magnoliopsida, Poales, Poaceae.